Molecule: long non-coding RNA, 291 nt
Organism: Drosophila obscura
Lineage: Eukaryota; Metazoa; Arthropoda; Insecta; Diptera; Drosophilidae
Exons: 3
Source: RefSeq, a predicted model, not a curated record
GAAGAUGUGAGGAAACUACAGCUGCUUUUUCACAGUGCUACACAGAAGAUGUGAGGAAACUACAGCUGCUUUUUCCCAGGCAUGCACAAUAACUCCAGAACCCCGAAUGAGUGGACAAUCUGCUGACCAAUCAGCAGGAAAAGGAAAAGUGGUUCAUUAAUUGAAUGGGGAAUUACAAGAAAGUCAGCGAUAAGUUGUCUAGCCAACCACCGGGAGCACACUCAGGCACACUCCAGCCACUCCAGCCACUCGAACAAUCAACCACUCAACUUACCGUGUGGGAGUUGGGGU